CAUGAAUUCAUCUACGAGUCCAUGAAACCCAGAGCUGCUACCAGGACAGUUCUAGAACAGCCAGCAUCCUCAGCUUGCUCUUCAGUUCCUGCCUGUCUUGUCAUCACUGUCAGCAUCCAUUUGUCAAGCACCGAACAGUGUGAGCUGUUUUCCUUAGAGCUGGAGCACUGCUUGGCAGCCACUGGGCAAGCUGGUGGAGGAAGAGGAGAUACAAGGAUGAAUGAGAUGGAGACGCAGCCCACUGUCCAACCUACCCGGCGGCUUGUGUCCCAACAAGGGAAGAGACCUGCCCACAGACAGUGAGAAAUGGGGGAUGGAAGUACCUGUUCAAGUUUUUGUUUCAAGAGCGUUCAGCUGUCUAAACACUCAGCUCAGCCAAGCCUCACUCUGCAUACAGACUACAGAGGGACUUCAGAGGCUCAAGCAUCCUGCUCUCACCUUCCCAUCAGCAGAGCUCCUCGUUUCCAACCCUGACUGGAAGGAGAUGAACCCCACGGCAGAGGGCAGGUGAGGGUUGGAAGAAUUCAGGUGUAUAUUUAAAAAAAAAAAAAAGGAUUUAUUUCCCUUUGGCUGUGCUGGGUCUUUGUUGCUGUGUGUGGGUUUUCUCUAGUUGCAUCGAGCGGGGCUACGCUCUAGCUGCGGUGUGCAGGCUUCUCAUUGCGGCGGCUCCUCUU
Molecule: long non-coding RNA, 674 nt
Filed under: Bos indicus x Bos taurus (hybrid cattle)
Lineage: Eukaryota; Metazoa; Chordata; Mammalia; Artiodactyla; Bovidae
Description: lncRNA (ENSBIXG00000008625.1)
Source: RNAcentral